Molecule: ribosomal RNA, 253 nt
Filed under: uncultured bacterium
Lineage: Bacteria
Description: partial 16S ribosomal RNA
Rfam family: Bacterial small subunit ribosomal RNA
Source: RNAcentral
UACGUAGGGGGCAAGCGUUGUCCGGAUUUACUGGGCGUAAAGAGCGCGCAGGCGGUCGAUCAAGUCGAGUGUGAAAGCCCCCGGCUCAACUGGGGAGGGUCAUUCGAUACUGAUCGACUCGAAGGCAGGAGAGGGUAGUGGAAUUCCCGGUGUAGUGGUGAAAUGCGUAGAUAUCGGGAGGAACACCAGUGGCGAAGGCGACUACCUGGCCUGUUCUUGACGCUGAGGCGCGAAAGCUAGGGGAGCAAACAGG